CCUACGGUGGGCAGCAGUGGGGAAUAUUGGACAAUGGGCGAAAGCCUGAUCCAGCCAUGCCGCGUGUGUGAAGAAGGCCUUCGGGUUGUAAAGCACUUUCAGUGGGGAAGAAAGCCUUGGGGCUAAUACCCUCGAGGAAGGACAUCACCCACAGAAGAAGCACCGGCUAACUCCGUGCCAGCAGGCGCGGUAAUACGGAGGGUGCGAGCGUUAAUCGGAAUUACUGGGCGUAAAGCGCGCGUAGGCGGUCUGAUAAGCCGGUUGUGAAAGCCCCGGGCUCAACCUGGGAACGGCAUCCGGAACUGUCAGGCUAGAGUGCAGGAGAGGAAGGUAGAAUUCCCGGUGUAGCGGUGACAUGCGUAGCGAUCGGGAGGAAUACCAGUGGCGAAGGCGGCCUUCUGGACUGACACUGACGCUGAGGUGCGAAAGCGUGGGUAGCAAACAGGAUUAGAUACCCCUGUAGUC
This 465-nucleotide ribosomal RNA is filed under the name Vreelandella stevensii. RNAcentral describes it as "partial 16S ribosomal RNA". It matches the Rfam family "Bacterial small subunit ribosomal RNA", at positions 338 to 795 of the family's 1533-position model. Lineage: Bacteria; Pseudomonadati; Pseudomonadota; Gammaproteobacteria; Oceanospirillales; Halomonadaceae. The record is from RNAcentral.